UUAUACCCCAAAAAGGACAAAGUUCAAUUUUUCUCCCAAAAGAGGAAAAAUAAUAAAAAGAAAAAACCCUGACCACAUGCACACUUUCAAUACAUGUACAAACAGCUAGCAGAGUGAUAAAUUCCUAGCAUUCAAACUGUAGGAGGAGUUAUCUGGAAACGCCCUACUUAUUGCAAGUAAAUUUCCCAAAAACGACAAAGUUCAACUUUCUCCCAAAAGAGCACAUAUUAAUAAAAAUCAAACCCUGACCACAUGCAGUACAC
Molecule: long non-coding RNA, 263 nt
Filed under: Mytilus galloprovincialis (Mediterranean mussel)
Lineage: Eukaryota; Metazoa; Mollusca; Bivalvia; Mytilida; Mytilidae
Source: RNAcentral